CAGUGCGACUUGGUGGUCCGGUCCCUGACCCAGCGCAGAGCUCCCUAGCCUCGGAGUCAACCAGUGCGGUGGCGACUAAAUGCAGAAGAAUGGGCUAGAUCGCUGUAGUAGGAUUUGGAGGCACAGUUCUGGAAUCGGAACAGACUGCAGCUUGAAGACAUGAGGGAGCACGUGGGAAAACUGAAUCGCUCAAUCGGUCAAAGCUAUUAGUGGUGAAGUAUGCUUAGGAGGAUUAUCACCAAGAGGCAGACUUUCCAAUCGGCCUUUCGACAUUCGAAGACAAGUGAAGACCACUGCCACUACUAUAUGGACAACAGCUUGGAAAAUAAGAUCUGAAGUGCAGGUCAAGUCAAUGUAAGAAAAAAGACUGGAGUCAAAUUCUAAGAGAGGUCCUUUAAUGAAUAGGAAAACUGGAAUAAUUUCACUAGUGAAAAUGUCACUAUAAAGGAAUAAAAUGGCCAAUUGUUCUUA
Long non-coding RNA from Suricata suricatta (meerkat), 471 nucleotides. RefSeq lists it as uncharacterized. The record is from RefSeq and is a predicted model, not a curated record. NCBI's taxonomy places the organism in Eukaryota, Metazoa, Chordata, Mammalia, Carnivora, Herpestidae. The transcript has 2 exons.